RNAcentral lists this long non-coding RNA (343 nucleotides) under Androctonus crassicauda. Lineage: Eukaryota; Metazoa; Arthropoda; Arachnida; Scorpiones; Buthidae. The record is from RNAcentral.
CUCCAAAUGAGUAAGUCAGUACUGGUAUGGCAAAUGUAUUGAUGGCUUUCACUGUGUUUUUCCCAUUCAGAUGUGUUUUGAGAAUAUUAUUUAAUCUGUUGGUGUACAGUUUUGACAGUGUUUGUUUAGUUUUCUUAUGUUCUGUGAGUCUGGCCUGCUGGAAUCCCAAAUAUUUGUACACUUCUCCCUCUUCCAUGGAUUCGAUAGUGUAUCUAUUUUCAAGAUUGAAGUCUUCUUUCUUCAGGACUCUUUUUUUAUAUGGAGUGUUUUGCAUUUGUCUAGGCCAAAUUCUAUGCAGAUGUCUUUUGAGAAUGUGUGCGUGAUUUGUAACAGCUGUUGUAAU